UUUCUACUCCCUUCGUCCGGAAAUACUUGUCAUCAAAAUGGAUAAAAGGGGAUGUAUCUAGACGUAUUUUAGUUUUAGAUACAUCUUUUUUUAUCCAUUUUGAUGACAAGUAUUUUCGGACGGAGGAAUACAAU
This is a non-coding RNA of Triticum aestivum (bread wheat), 134 nucleotides long. The record is from Rfam. NCBI's taxonomy places the organism in Eukaryota, Viridiplantae, Streptophyta, Magnoliopsida, Poales, Poaceae.